UACGGGGGGGGCAAGCGUUGUUCGGAAUUACUGGGCGUAAAGGGCUCGUAGGCGGCCAACUAAGUCAGACGUGAAAUCCCCAGGCUCAACCUGGGAACUGCGUCUGAUACUGGAUGGCUUGAAUUCGGGAGAGGGAUGCAGAAUUCCAGGUGUAGCGGUGAAAUGCGCAGAUAUCAGGAGGAACACCGGUGGCGAAGGCGGAUCUCUGGGCCUUACCUGACGCUCAGGUGCGAAAGCUAGGGGAGCGAACAGG
This 253-nucleotide ribosomal RNA is filed under the name uncultured bacterium. RNAcentral's name for it is "partial 16S ribosomal RNA". It matches the Rfam family "Bacterial small subunit ribosomal RNA", at positions 524 to 776 of the family's 1533-position model. The record is from RNAcentral.